Molecule: ribosomal RNA, 253 nt
Filed under: uncultured bacterium
Lineage: Bacteria
Description: partial 16S ribosomal RNA
Rfam family: Bacterial small subunit ribosomal RNA
Source: RNAcentral
UACGUAGGGGGCAAGCGUUGUCCGGAUUUAUUGGGCGUAAAGAGCGUGUAGGCGGCCAGGGAGGUCCGUUGUGAAAACUCGAGGCUCAACCUCGAGACGCCGAUGGAAACCCCCUGGCUAGAGUCCGGAAGAGGGGAGUGGAAUUCCUGGUGUAGCGGUGAAAUGCGCAGAUAUCAGGAAGAACACCCGUGGCUAAGGCGGCUCUCUGGGACGGUACUGACGCUGAGACGCGAAAGCGUGGGGAGCGAACAGG